RNAcentral lists this ribosomal RNA (524 nucleotides) under uncultured eukaryote. RNAcentral's name for it is "SSU rRNA". It matches the Rfam family "Eukaryotic small subunit ribosomal RNA", at positions 21 to 549 of the family's 1831-position model. The record is from RNAcentral.
UAGUCAUAUGCUUGUCUCAAAGAUUAAGCCAUGCAAGUCUAAGUAUAAGCAACUAUACGGUGAAACUGCGAAUGGCUCAUUAAAUCAGUUAUCGUUUAUUUGAUAGUACCUUACUACAUGGAUAACCGUGGUAAUUCUAGAGCUAAUACAUGCUAAAAACCCCGACUUCGGAAGGGGUGUAUUUAUUAGAUAAAAAACCAAUGCCCUUCGGGGCUCCUUGGUGAAUCAUAAUAACUUAACGAAUCGCAUGGCCUUGCGCCGGCGAUGGUUCAUUCAAAUUUCUGCCCUAUCAACUUUCGAUGGUAGGAUAGUGGCCUACCAUGGUAUCAACGGGUAACGGGGAAUUAGGGUUCUAUUCCGGAGAGGGAGCCUGAGAAGCGGCUACCACAUCCAAGGAAGGCAGCAGGCGCGCAAAUUACCCAAUCCCGACUCGGGGAGGUAGUGACAAUAAAUACUGAUACAGGGCUCUUUUGGGUCUUGUAAUUGGAAUGAGUACAAUUUAAAUCCCUUAACGAGGAACAAUU